Molecule: ribosomal RNA, 468 nt
Filed under: uncultured bacterium
Lineage: Bacteria
Description: partial 16S ribosomal RNA
Rfam family: Bacterial small subunit ribosomal RNA
Source: RNAcentral
GACGAACGCUGGCGGCGUGCUUAACACAUGCAAGUCGAACGGAAAGGCCCUGCUUUUGUGGGGUGCUCGAGUGGCGAACGGGUGAGUAACACGUGAGUAACCUGCCCUUGACUUUGGGAUAACUUCAGGAAACUGGGGCUAAUACCGGAUAGGAGCUCCUGCUGCAUGGUGGGGGUUGGAAAGUUUCGGCGGUUGGGGAUGGACUCGCGGCUUAUCAGCUUGUUGGUGGGGUAGUGGCUUACCAAGGCUUUGACGGGUAGCCGGCCUGAGAGGGUGACCGGCCACAUUGGGGCUGAGAUACGGCCCAGACUCCUACGGGAGGCAGCAGUGGGGAAUAUUGCACAAUGGGCGGAAGCCUGAUGCAGCAACGCCGCGUGCGGGAUGACGGCCUUCGGGUUGUAAACCGCUUUCGCCUGUGAUGAAGCGUGAGUGACGGUAAUGGGUAAAGAAGCACCGGCUAACUACGUG